Non-coding RNA from Salmo salar (Atlantic salmon), 529 nucleotides. The record is from RefSeq and is a predicted model, not a curated record. Lineage: Eukaryota; Metazoa; Chordata; Actinopteri; Salmoniformes; Salmonidae.
AAACAUUUGGAUUUGAAUUUGAAAGGACAGCAGGCGCAGGCACUUAACUGAAACAUUUAAAGAUCUCUUCAAUUUAAGGUAAGAUUUGUCCCUUGUAUGAUCUAAAUUGAUAUUGUUUUCUGAUGACACCAUCUAUCUUUUCAUAUUUGUGCAACUCUUUCUAAAACAGAAAAUGUAUACAAUUCAAUGGAUUUCAAUCAACAAAGAGGUAUACAGACGAGGAGACAUACAAAGUUAUGCCAAUUGAUAUUGGUAUGUUAUGCAGAUCAGAUUUACCAUCCUCCUCCCUUCCCUCUUCAAUAAAUAUCCCAUAGGCCCAUAGGCCUCUACAUUAUGGACAAGACUUCAUCCUCCCUACACCUCUGAUGAAUGUAACAGGAAACCUGUUCAAUCAUGCACUGCAAAAUCGUUCUGACUAUGAAUACGGAGAACAUCAACACAUUAAAACAUCAACAGCCAGAGGAUAUACCCAUUAGACUUGGGGCUCUGCUGGGAGUUUACCUCAUGUUUGGAUUUUUGUAUUCUGCUU